This 24-nucleotide non-coding RNA is filed under the name Arabidopsis thaliana (thale cress). Lineage: Eukaryota; Viridiplantae; Streptophyta; Magnoliopsida; Brassicales; Brassicaceae. The record is from RNAcentral.
GACUACAUUCUGGGUCACCGGGUC